This 1787-nucleotide long non-coding RNA is filed under the name Ananas comosus (pineapple). Its description in RNAcentral is "long non-coding RNA (ACOM_LNC019705)". Lineage: Eukaryota; Viridiplantae; Streptophyta; Magnoliopsida; Poales; Bromeliaceae. The record is from RNAcentral.
ACUUGACGAGUGUUUUUGUAAUUAAAAUACACACAAAAAUAUCACCAACAGAGAGUUUAGCUACACUGCCAAAUUCUCAGUCCUUAUAUAUGAAUUUCUAGAUAUUAAUUAUGAGAAAUCUUUUAAAAUGGCCGCAAAUUAUGGGUACUUUUAGUGGUAAGAUUUAAAUUUCGCUAUUGAAAAGAGAAGAUGAUUUCUGUGGUGACCUUCCAAUAAAUAUACAAAAUGUUAACGGUAGGGGUGGAAACGAGCCGAGCUCGAGCGAGCUUACUUCAGCUCAAGCUUGGCUUGAAAUUAAUUUCGAGCCUAAAUUUAGGCUCAAGCUCGGCUUGAAAUUAAUUCGAGCCGAGCUCGAGCGAGCCUAAUUUCGAGUCGAGCGAGCUCGAGCCCUAAACGAGCCGUUUGAAAUUCUUAACAUCGUGCAAUCUAUAGUUUAAUUUUUAUAAAAUAUUAUCUAAAAUUCGAUACAAAAAAUAUCUAAUAGCUCAACAUACAAAAUGAAUGCAUGAAAUAUGAUAUUAUAAUAUUAAAAAACUUAGGAAAAGUGACUCUAUGAGCGAGUGAAAAAGAGAGAGAGAGAAAGAGAGAGCGCAAUUAGAGUAGGAUUUUGCUGGUUUGGUUUUGUAGGCCCAAUAUUAAUCUAAAUUCUAUAUACACAUAAUUAAAAUACAUAAUAUAUAUUACUUUAUAUAAUUAAAAUAUAUAUAAUAUAUAAUUAUAUAUAGAGAGAGUUCAGCUACUACACUCAUAUCAGUAUAGUCCCUUUUAUACUCAUAAAUUUUCGAUCGUUAAAUCUAUCCUUUUGGCAAUUUUCAUCUGUAUAUCAUACUAUUCAACCAACCACCCAUUAAAUCCUAGGGGACCACUAUCAUCCUAAUUAAUUGCACAUCCAACGGUAAAAAAUUUAUAAGUAUAAAGGGGUUUAUACUCAUAAGAAUAUAGUAGGCCUUAGUUAUAUAUUAUAUAUAUAUAUAUAUAUAUAUAUAUAUAUAUAUAUAUAUAUAUAUAUAUAGAAUUAGGUUACUAUACUAUUAAUAGUACCAACCGUUUGCUAUUAGGUUUUUAGCCCUUAGAUGAAGGGAUAUUUGGUCAGGAUGAUAGUACUAGGGUUGAGGAGGUGGCUAGUUGAAUAGUAUGAUCUAACGGAUGAAAAUGGCCAAAGGGGUAGAUCUAACGGCAGAAAAUUCGAUAGCACUAAACGCUUGGUACUAUCGAUAAUAUAGUAGCCGGACUCUAUAUAUAGGUAGAUCUAAUAGCAGAAAACUCGAUAGCACAAAACGAUUGGUACUAUAGAUAGUGUAAUAGCCAGACUAUAUAGAGAGAGAGAGAGAGAGAGUUCGGCUUCUAUAUUAUCGAUAGUGCCAAAUGUUUAAUCCUAUCAAAUUUUAUGCCAUUAGAUCUACCACUUUUGUAACAUACCGAAAUAUAGGUGGAAUAUAUUCGACUUUAGCCAAAUUGGCCAAAGUGCCAUAAAGAAAUAGUUGCACAAGUUUCGUUAACAUUCCAACCAUGUUGGAAGGGUUAAAAAGGAGUUCUAAAAGAAUUAAAAAGGUUUUAGCGAUAAUGAGAGCUAAAUAGAGUCAAAAAGACGCGAAAAAUAGAAAUCUGGAGCUUGUGUACCGGUACCAUGUGAUGGCUGUACCGGUACAACCAUCGCUAACCAAGGGAGAAAGCUCUCAGGUUUGAGCUGGAAAAAGGCUGUGUACCGGUGACAAAAUUUCGUGUACUGGUACAGUGCACCGUGGACCACCGAAAAAGACUGUUGUACCGGUGACAGGAACCCGUGU